CAGUCGAGCGGAACCUUUGGAGCUUGCUCCAUUGGUUCAGCGGCGGACGGGUGAGUAACACGUGGGCAACCUGCCCUGCAGAUCGGGAUAACUCCGGGAAACCGGUGCUAAUACCGAAUAGUUUGCGGCCUCUCCUGAGGCUGCACGGAAAGACGGUUUCGGCUGUCACUGCAGGAUGGGCCCGCGGCGCAUUAGCUAGUUGGUGGGGUAAUGGCCCACCAAGGCGACGAUGCGUAGCCGACCUGAGAGGGUGAUCGGCCACACUGGGACUGAGACACGGCCCAGACUCCUACGGGAGGCAGCAGUAGGGAAUCUUCCGCAAUGGACGAAAGUCUGACGGAGCAAUGCCGCGUGAGUGACGAAGGUUUUCGGAUCGUAAAACUCUGUUGUGAGGGAAGAACAAGUACCAUUUAACUGAUGGUACCUUGACGGUACCUCACCAGAAAGCCACGGCUAACUACGUGCCAGCAGCCGCGGUAAUACGUAGGUGGCAAGCGUUGUCCGGAAUUAUUGGGCGUAAAGCGCGCGCAGGCGGUCCCUUAAGUCUGAUGUGAAAGCCCACGGCUCAACCGUGGAGGGUCAUUGGAAACUGGGGGACUUGAGUGCAGAAGAGGAAAGUGGAAUUCCAUGUGUAGCGGUGAAAUGCGUAGAGAUGUGGAGGAACACCAGUGGCGAAGGCGACUUUCUGGU
RNAcentral lists this ribosomal RNA (690 nucleotides) under bacterium IBRC-M RA4. RNAcentral's name for it is "bacterial SSU rRNA". It matches the Rfam family "Bacterial small subunit ribosomal RNA", at positions 59 to 733 of the family's 1533-position model. The record is from RNAcentral.